AAACCGUUCGGGGGUAAACGGACAGAGCCCGUGAAUCCGGGCGACGGAAUUCAGAAUCGACGGCGUUCGCGCGUCGUUGGUUCGAUAUUUCCGUCGCCAUCACACAUACGGACGUCGCGACCCGUUCGGUGUCGGUCUGCAGGAGACGUGCGAAAGUUCGUGGGCGUCGAUCGGGUUUCGGCUCGGCUGGCGUUUCGCGAGUGCGCGUUUUUUUUCUGGCCGACUCGCCGGACGGUAAGCGAAGCGGUGAUCGCGACGGCCUCUCGUCAGCGCCGUCGCGUUACCGGUCUGCGACGAAUCUUCGGGCCUCUUUCCGA
RNAcentral lists this ribosomal RNA (317 nucleotides) under Pseudococcus cryptus. Its description in RNAcentral is "partial 28S ribosomal RNA". The record is from RNAcentral. Lineage: Eukaryota; Metazoa; Arthropoda; Insecta; Hemiptera; Pseudococcidae.